Molecule: ribosomal RNA, 542 nt
Filed under: Beauveria bassiana
Lineage: Eukaryota; Fungi; Ascomycota; Sordariomycetes; Hypocreales; Cordycipitaceae
Description: eukaryotic LSU rRNA
Rfam family: 5.8S ribosomal RNA (bases 180-333)
Source: RNAcentral
CUGCGGAGGGAUCAUUACCGAGUUUUCAACUCCCUAACCCUUCUGUGAACCUACCUAUCGUUGCUUCGGCGGACUCGCCCCAGCCCGGACGCGGACUGGACCAGCGGCCCGCCGGGGACCUCAAACUCUUGUAUUCCAGCAUCUUCUGAAUACGCCGCAAGGCAAAACAAAUGAAUCAAAACUUUCAACAACGGAUCUCUUGGCUCUGGCAUCGAUGAAGAACGCAGCGAAACGCGAUAAGUAAUGUGAAUUGCAGAAUCCAGUGAAUCAUCGAAUCUUUGAACGCACAUUGCGCCCGCCAGCAUUCUGGCGGGCAUGCCUGUUCGAGCGUCAUUUCAACCCUCGACCUCCCCUUGGGGGGGUCGGCGUUGGGGACCGGCAGCACACCGCCGGCCCUGAAAUGGAGUGGCGGCCCGUCCGCGGCGACCUCUGCGCAGUAAUACAGCUCGCACCGGAACCCCGACGCGGCCACGCCGUAAAACACCCAACUUCUGAACGUUGACCUCGAAUCAGGUAGGACUACCCGCUGAACUUAAGCAUAU